RNAcentral lists this long non-coding RNA (248 nucleotides) under Dasypus novemcinctus (nine-banded armadillo). RNAcentral's name for it is "lncRNA (ENSDNOG00000050472.1)". The record is from RNAcentral. Lineage: Eukaryota; Metazoa; Chordata; Mammalia; Cingulata; Dasypodidae.
GCACGAUCCGUUCUUGACUGCUUUACCCAGGGUGGAGUGCAGCUGAUGUGCAGCUGGUAGCGUCAGCUGUCGAUGGACACACCGACUGUUGGACAGUGCCCGUGAUGUCCUGGUGUUAAGAAUUUGGGAUUGUAAAGUUAAUGCGAUGGGAAUCUGGAUACCCCUUGACUUGCCUGCCAUCAACAAGCUUCUGGAGAAGUAAAUAGCAUCACUUCUUCCCAGGUAAGAAUUCUCGGUGGGCAGCUCUC